GUGGAGCGGAGCGCGGAGCGGAUCCGGGGAAAUUCACCGGAGAGGCGAUUUGUUCUUCACUGGCCGACAUUUGCCGCUUGUGAGUGAAAGAGUCCAAGAUACGUCUGCACGUAACAUGUUUCUGCGAGAAUAGAGUAAUAGUCUUGUUCUUUAACCCACCUGCGACUCGGACGACACCUGCUGGCAGAUUAUAGUCGGACACUAAGUCAGCAUCACCAGCGUGUGGACAUUCUGCUCCCAGAUCAUCCUCCAGAACUCAUUGACAGUGCAAGCUAAUGGGCCCUGGGCUGCAACAAACUCCUUCCUGGAAAAGUAGCCCUGCACACAUGGACAGGCAAAAUCACUGGUCGCCAGCAGGUUUGAUUUGAGGGCGCGAUGGAGGAAGACUGGGAAAAUAGCGAUCAAUGAUUCAACAUCUCAACAGAAAGGACCCAGUCUGUGCAUCCAGUCCACAGAGCGGAACCAGUACAAGG
This is a long non-coding RNA of Brienomyrus brachyistius, 473 nucleotides long. RefSeq lists it as uncharacterized. Lineage: Eukaryota; Metazoa; Chordata; Actinopteri; Osteoglossiformes; Mormyridae. The transcript is spliced from 4 exons. The record is from RefSeq and is a predicted model, not a curated record.